Molecule: ribosomal RNA, 446 nt
Filed under: uncultured bacterium
Lineage: Bacteria
Description: partial 16S ribosomal RNA
Rfam family: Bacterial small subunit ribosomal RNA
Source: RNAcentral
CCUACGGGAGGCAGCAGUCGAGAAUCAUUCACAAUGGGGGAAACCCUGAUGGUGCGACGCCGCGUGGGGGAAUGAAGGUCUUCGGAUUGUAAACCCCUGUCAUGUGGGAGCAAAUUAAAAAGAUAGUACCACAAGAGGAAGAGACGGCUAACUCUGUGCCAGCAGCCGCGGUAAUACAGAGGUCUCAAGCGUUGUUCGGAAUCACUGGGCGUAAAGCGUGCGUAGGCUGUUUCGUAAGUCGUGUGUGAAAGGCGCGGGCUCAACCCGCGGACGGCACAUGAUACUGCGAGACUAGAGUAAGGGAGGGGGAACCGGAAUUCUCGGUGUAGCAGUGAAAUGCGUAGAUAGCGAGAGGAACACUCGUGGCGAAGGCGGGUUCCUGGACAUUAACUGACGCUGAGGCACGAAGGCCAGGGGAGCGAAAGGGAUUAGAUACCCGGGUAGUC